RNA transcript from Eriocheir sinensis (Chinese mitten crab), 2236 nucleotides. It is a transcript of the gene named alkylglycerol monooxygenase-like, with no coding region annotated. The transcript is spliced from 4 exons. NCBI's taxonomy places the organism in Eukaryota, Metazoa, Arthropoda, Malacostraca, Decapoda, Varunidae. The record is from RefSeq and is a predicted model, not a curated record.
GUAGUAGCAGCAGCAGCAGCAGCAGCAGUAGUUGUAGUAGUAGUAGUAGUUUUCAUGAAGUAUACAUUGAAGAGUUUUACAGCUCUCCUUUGUAUAAUUUUGAUGAUGUGUUUUCAGUUUCCAUAAACGCAGUAUGAAUGCUGAUGAUGUUCUUUAUUCUGCAGAAGUUGCUUAAUCUGGGCGGCGUACGCCACACAUCACAAUGGAGAGGAUUUCAACCUGACUUCCAGCAUCCGUAUUUCAGCCCCUGCAAGACUUACAAAGUAAGAGAAUCACCAGAUGCUUCAUAUGACUUAUUUUAAUAUUUGACAUUUUCCAGACACCAAAAAUGUCGUUGCCUCCACAGGUGGGUGCACUAUGUGCCUCUGGGAAUACUGGGGGUCCCUCCCUCCAUCUUCGUGGUGCACGCCCAGCUGAACUUUGCGUUCGGAGUGUGGAGUCACACUUUGACAAUUCCCAAGAUAUCCAAGAUAAUCCCAGGACUGGGACACCUCCUUGAGUUUAUAAUGGUGACUCCGAGCCAUCACAGAGUCCACCAUGGUAGAACCUGCUUUAGUUUGGGGUUAUGAUUUGAUUCCUGAUCUUGCGAUUAAAACGAACUUGCUGCACCCAUCGUUUUGAGACAGGUGUGAACAAAUACUGUUUGGAUAAAAACUAUGGAAUGUUUCUCAUCGUCUGGGAUCGGAUGUUUGGCACAUUUGCCGAAGAGCGCGAGGACGAGCCUAUCACCUACGGCACUGUGUCUCAGGUGGACACCUUCCAUCCACUCGGCCUUCAGCUACAGCCUUAUCAGAAACUGUAUCAAAAGAUGCAGACGAUGAAAACUGACGGUGACAGACUGCGCACACUGUUCUACGGACCUGGCUGGUCUCCAGGCAAGCCUCGUCUUGGGGCGGAGGAAGACAUCCCUGACGUGCUGAGAAGGGAAAAACUGGAGUUGUCCUUGCCGUUUUGGCUCAACUUGUACCUGGCAUUUCAAACAGCUUUCGUUGUCUUUGUUGUGAAGGAUAUGGGAGUAAGAGUUGAGGCAAGUCCUAAUAUUAGUAGUUGUUGGUUAAAUAAUGAGUUCACAUUUCAGGUAUUCUGCCGUGGGUGGAACAGCUGUUUGUUUACACAGUGCAUCUACACCCACCCCCAUGUACGGUAAUCUUUGAUAAUAAUGCGCACGGCACCAGUAUAGGUGCAUAACACGCAUAUUUAAUCAAAAGUAAUACUGUCAUAAUGGAUAAGACGUGGCCUGAAGGCAGUAACUAAGGCUGUGGGCAUGAGCUCUCAUCUGGGUAUCCGCCAUCUUGAUGGCAAGUGAAAUGGCAGUUCGGCGACUUGACCUCAUUCCCUAGGAUUAGCGGGCCAUGUCGACUCCACCCUUUAUACCUCCAAGUGCUAUCCCACCCCAACUGGGCAAAGGUAAGGCAGGAGAUGGGUAAGGGUGGUUGGGCUGGCCCAGAAAGGCUCCACCUUUGUGCGUAAAGUGAAGGGUUACAGUCAAUGCUUUCCUCCUGUCAUGACAUGCAGGUCAGGAGUGGACACUGACCAGGUCUUUGGGAAGGAUAUUUAGAAGCACUGAAAAAGCCAUGGAGAGAUUGAUGGUGGGAAUCACAGUAUUGGAUGAGAAAAUUGCAAAUGGAAAAGAGUGAAGAAAAAUUAGAUUAGAUGAAAUCAAGAAAGGGCAAUGGUUAGGAUUCAUAGUUAGGAGAGAGGACAGCAGCUGGACAAUUGUGAAGGACUGGGAAAUAAAAAAAGACCCAAAGGGAGGACAUUCAGCAGAUGAUGUGAUCAAAUAAGAAGUUUACGGAACUUUCACAUAAAAAAUUGAUAAGUAGAAACGCAGGACAAACUAAUGGAAAUAUUUUGUAGGCAAUGUACUGUAGAGCAGUGAUACGUACAUACAUAAAUAUUUUUCUCUUCCAGACAUUUGGUCUAUGGCAGUCAUUUGCAAACUUCGGCAUCAUUUUCUCUGCAUGCAUGUCUCUGGGGGCUCAGUACGACUCCAGUUAUUAAGCUGUCUGGCUGGAGCCUCUCCGUCUGAUAGUCCUCAUGGUGGCCUCCCAUCUCUACCCAAUGUUGAGCAGUCACGUUAUCACCACCUGGGUAUCAGCAGUUUGUCUAGGCAGCCUCCUGUUCUGGCCAGUGCUCAGGGAUCACCUCCACUCCUUGCGUGCCAGUUCUACUUCAGCUCAAAAUGGGGUUGAGACACAAAAUAAAAUUAUGCAACUGUAGAAUUUUGUACUCAGAA